GCCUGGGUGGCUCAGUCGGUUGAGCACCCGACUCUUGGGUUUUGGUUAAGAUUGUGUUCUCAGGGUUGUGGGAUCAAAUCCCAUGCCGGGCU
This 92-nucleotide transfer RNA is filed under the name Ailuropoda melanoleuca (giant panda). It matches the Rfam family "tRNA". From Rfam's summary of the family: Transfer RNA (tRNA) molecules are approximately 80 nucleotides in length. The record is from Rfam by way of RNAcentral. Lineage: Eukaryota; Metazoa; Chordata; Mammalia; Carnivora; Ursidae.